AUGUAUAGGGAAAACUGGUAAAAUGUGAUGUACCUAGAAAUAUAAGCAGUCUUAUAUUUAUUACCUCUAUUACCUAGUAAUAAAGUAAUAAAUAUGAGAUUAUUCUAUAUGAGAUUAACUAAGUUAAUUAAAAUUCUAAGUAGAUGUUUGAUUAUGACAAUAUCUGUAUAGGUCUUGACCAAGUCACGUGCCAGCAGUCGCGGUAAUACGUGGAAGACAAGUGUUAUUCAUCUUUAUUGGGUUUAAAGGGUACCUAGACUGUUAAUUAAGCAAUGAGAUGUACUAAUUAACUAGAGUUUAAUGUAAGAAGGAUUGAGUACAGUGAGUGUAGAGAUAAAAUUCUUAGAUACCACUUAGGAACUGGUAACAGCGAAGGCUACCUUCAAUGUAAAAACUGACGUUAAGGGACGAAGGCUUGUAUUAAAUAAUAGGAUUAGAUACCCUAGUAUUUUGAGCAGAAAAUGAUGAGUGUCAUAUACAAGAUAUUUAUUUUGUGUAUAAAUGAAAGUGUAAGCACUCCACCUCAAGAGUAACGUGGCAACAUGGGAACUGAAAUCAUUAGACCGUUUUUGAAACUCGUAGUGAAGUAUGUUGUUUAAUUUGAUGGUACACAAAUAACCUUACCACAAUUUGAAUUACUAAAAAAAAAUAGUAACAAGUGUUGCACGGCUGUCUUCAGUCAAUGUUGUGAAACUUUGGUUAGAUCCAUUAAAUUGACGUAAACCCUUACUUUAUUUAUUAUAAAGUAGUUCGCCGCUAUAUUGGUAGUGAUAUAAGGGACUAGGACAAGUCAUCAU
RNAcentral lists this ribosomal RNA (797 nucleotides) under Ocellularia cinerea. RNAcentral's name for it is "SSU rRNA". The stretch from base 115 to 797 matches the Rfam family "Bacterial small subunit ribosomal RNA", at positions 1 to 1196 of the family's 1533-position model. Lineage: Eukaryota; Fungi; Ascomycota; Lecanoromycetes; Ostropales; Graphidaceae. The record is from RNAcentral.